CAGUCGAACGAGGGUCCUUCGGGACUCGAGUGGCGAACGGGUGAGUAACACGUAGGGAACCUGCCCGUGCGACCGGGAGAACUUUCGGAAACGGAAGCUGAUACCGGAUAGGGACAGAGACGGCAUCGACUCUGUGUUAAAGGAGCUGAAAGGCUCCGCGCACGGAUGGACCUGCGGUGCAUUAGCUGGUUGGUGAGGUAACGGCCCACCAAGGCGACGAUGCAUAGCCGGCCUGAGAGGGCGGACGGCCACACUGGGACUGAGACACGGCCCAGACUCCUACGGGAGGCAGCAGUAGGGAAUUUUCGUCAAUGGGCGCAAGCCUGAACGAGCAAUGCCGCGUGAACGAGGAAGGUCUUCGGAUCGUAAAGUUCUGUUGAAGGGGAAAAAGAGCGGAGAGAGGAAAUGGUCUCCGAUUGAUAUUACCCUUCGAGGAAGUCACGGCUAACUACGUGCCAGCAGCCGCGGUAAUACGUAGGUGGCGAGCGUUAUCCGGAAUGAUUGGGCGUAAAGGGUGCGUAGGCGGCCUGCUAAGUCUGGAGUGAAAGGUACCGGCUCAACCGGUAUAGGCUCUGGAAACUGGCGGGCUAGAGAGCAGGAGAGGGCGGUGGAACUCCAUGUGUAGCGGUAAAAUGCGUAGAUAUAUGGAAGAACACCAGUGGCGAAGGCGGCCGCCUGGCCUGUUACUGACGCUGAGGCACGAAAGCGUGGGGAGCAAAUAGGAUUAGAUACCCUAGUAGUC
Molecule: ribosomal RNA, 742 nt
Filed under: uncultured bacterium
Lineage: Bacteria
Description: bacterial SSU rRNA
Rfam family: Bacterial small subunit ribosomal RNA
Source: RNAcentral